GUGCUCACUCCAGUAACACAUAUAUUAAAAUUGGACAAUACAGAGAAGAUUAGCACAGCCCCAUGCAAGGAUGACAUGCAAAUUCAGGUAAUGCUGCAUAUUUAA
This is a small nuclear RNA of Otolemur garnettii (small-eared galago), 105 nucleotides long. The record is from Ensembl. NCBI's taxonomy places the organism in Eukaryota, Metazoa, Chordata, Mammalia, Primates, Galagidae.